This 64-nucleotide transfer RNA is filed under the name marine eukaryotic metagenome. It matches the Rfam family "tRNA", at positions 5 to 66 of the family's 71-position model. From Rfam's summary of the family: Transfer RNA (tRNA) molecules are approximately 80 nucleotides in length. Their secondary structure includes four short double-helical elements and three loops (D, anti-codon, and T loops). The record is from RNAcentral.
CCGUAGCUCAGUGGCAGAGCGCCCGGCUCAUAACCGGUUGGUCCCAGGUUCAAAUCCUGGCGGG